Molecule: ribosomal RNA, 253 nt
Filed under: uncultured bacterium
Lineage: Bacteria
Description: partial 16S ribosomal RNA
Rfam family: Bacterial small subunit ribosomal RNA
Source: RNAcentral
UACAGAGGGUGCGAGCGUUAAUCGGAAUUACUGGGCGUAAAGCGCGCGUAGGCGGCUUGGUCAGUCGGAUGUGAAAGCCCCGGGCUUAACCUGGGAAUUGCAUUCGAUACUGCCUGGCUAGAAUGUAGUAGAGGGAAGUGGAAUUCCAGGUGUAGCGGUGAAAUGCGUAGAUAUCUGGAGGAACAUCAGUGGCGAAGGCGACUUCCUGGACUAACAUUGACGCUGAGGUGCGAAAGCGUGGGGAGCAAACAGG